AUUAGCUUAGUUGGUUAGAGCAUGGGUCUAAUAACACCAAGGUUGUGGGUUUGAUUCCCAUAU
RNAcentral lists this transfer RNA (63 nucleotides) under Manacus vitellinus (golden-collared manakin). It matches the Rfam family "tRNA", at positions 6 to 65 of the family's 71-position model. Rfam says of the family: Transfer RNA (tRNA) molecules are approximately 80 nucleotides in length. Lineage: Eukaryota; Metazoa; Chordata; Aves; Passeriformes; Pipridae. The record is from Rfam by way of RNAcentral.